RNAcentral lists this ribosomal RNA (495 nucleotides) under uncultured bacterium. Its description in RNAcentral is "partial 16S ribosomal RNA". It matches the Rfam family "Bacterial small subunit ribosomal RNA", at positions 28 to 507 of the family's 1533-position model. The record is from RNAcentral.
GACGAACGCUGGCGGCGUGCCUAAUACAUGCAAGUAGAACGCUGAAGGAGGAGCUUGCUUCUCUGGAUGAGUUGCGAACGGGUGAGUAACGCGUAGGUAACCUGCCUGGUAGCGGGGGAUAACUAUUGGAAACGAUAGCUAAUACCGCAUAAGAGUAGAUGUUGCAUGACAUUUGCUUAAAAGGUGCAAUUGCAUCACUACCAGAUGGACCUGCGUUGUAUUAGCUAGUUGGUGGGGUAACGGCUCACCAAGGCGACGAUACAUAGCCGACCUGAGAGGGUGAUCGGCCACGCUGGGACUGAGACACGGCCCAGACUCCUACGGGAGGCAGCAGUAGGGAAUCUUCGGCAAUGGACGGAAGUCUGACCGAGCAACGCCGCGUGAGUGAAGAAGGUUUUCGGAUCGUAAAGCUCUGUUGUAAGAGAAGAACGAGUGUGAGAGUGGAAAGUUCACACUGUGACGGUAUCUUACCAGAAAGGGACGGCUAACUACGUG